AGUGUCAAGCGAUGGGAAUCGAACCCACGACCUUCCGCUUACCGGGCAGAUGCCAUGACCACUAGGCCACAUGACC
Molecule: transfer RNA, 76 nt
Filed under: Cordylochernes scorpioides
Lineage: Eukaryota; Metazoa; Arthropoda; Arachnida; Pseudoscorpiones; Chernetidae
Description: tRNA-Thr
Source: RNAcentral